UACUCCCGAUUAUUUCUCUUAGUCAAACCGUCGAGAUUGGAUCUGAGAUCUCUCGUUCUGGUUACUCCAUCCUCAGGGCGUCAGGACGGCGGCGACACUGCGGAUCACACCGGAGUCCAUCGAACGAACGUACACCGUCUCAGAAGGGCACAAUGAUGAAUUCAACACAAAAUUCUGCUGGUAGGAGACCAAGUACAAUACAUCGUCAACUUGGUAAUGAUAUUUAUGUUCACUUCAAUUUAUGCCAUAGCAGCAAAGGUAAUUUAAGUUAUCUCUAAUAUUUGGUAUAAUUAAGAAGAUCCUGGAAUUCUUAAUCUUCAGAACUGUUAAACCUUAUACAGGAACUCAAGAACAAUCUGACACUCACGUGUCUGCUAAUGACAUGUGUGCACCGGAUGAAUGGCCGUCCCAUGCUCGCCGCAACCAUGCACAGCUGCAGAAUGAAAGUGAUGGACAGAAGAAGAAAGGGCGAGGUGUUCUAAAAGGUUUUAAAUCAAGCAAGAAGCGUUUUGCCAAUGGAUUUGCAAAGCUAAUAUUGCAUUCUCUGAAAAUUUGGGUGGUACAGUAGGAAUGAACUAUCGUUCAUUCAAGGAUGACGUGGUAGUCAUAAUGAAAAGAAAGUCACCACUCAUUGGAGUGAGGAGAUAAUCGGACAUUCACCCUACCAUCCAUCUACUCAUUGCUGCAGAUAUGAUGCUGGGAUUUGGAUGAUACACCAGAAACAGAAGAAACAAUUCUCAAAAUUGCGAAAGAGCGAUAUAGAGGCUGGCGAUCAACUCUAAGCUCCACUUACAAGGCAUAAAAAACCGAUGCGAGUAGAUUGGACAAUGUGCCGGAAGAUUUACAACCAGAAGAGUGGGAAUGGAUGAUUGAGUACUUCGGCACUGAUUCAAACUUUCAGACUUCUAAACCGGAGAAGAGCCAGAUUGUAUUGCUCUUUGGGAACUAACCCACACGAAGAAUGGAACAUGGACUAACAAAGAGUAGCAUGAUGUUUAUGAUCAAAGUAACUGGAAUGGACUCUAGACCAUGGACAAUUUAGUCUUUGCUUUUAAUUAGGAUGGCACAUUCAGUAUGUUGAAUGUGUGCUAAAUUAUAUUUCAGUUUCAUUUGAUGGAUAUUGGCCAUGUAAACCUUGAUGUUUUAUGUAUCUACAAUUCUACAUCAUAUAUGCAUUAUUUGACUCA
This is a long non-coding RNA of Triticum aestivum (bread wheat), 1187 nucleotides long. RefSeq lists it as uncharacterized. The transcript is spliced from 6 exons. The record is from RefSeq and is a predicted model, not a curated record. NCBI's taxonomy places the organism in Eukaryota, Viridiplantae, Streptophyta, Magnoliopsida, Poales, Poaceae.